GUCCUUGUGAGGCGGGUCACGAAUGGCUUCCCUAGGUAGUCUUCACGUAGCGGAAGCAUGUCCCAGAGGUUGCCGAUUUCCUUGUCGCCCAGUCUGAGUCCUUGGGCAUACAGGUAUUCAACAAGUGGGUUCUCAUCAUCAUCAGAAUCGUCAUCAUCUGACUCAGCACCAUCUUCCUCCUCAUGAACUUCAUCCUCACUAUCCGGAAUCAAAUUUAGAUAGAUAACAAAAAUCCUGGGCCUAUCUUUUCUGAAGGAGAAGCUGAUCAAUUCACCCCCACUAAGACGGUUGCGGGUGAUGAAACGAUCCCAAUCAUCUCCUCCUAUCUGGGUUAUCUUUCGCCCCUUCUCGACCUGCAUAGUGUAUGGGCCCCCAAGAGCAUCGAAGGUCACGGUGUCUGCGACGAGCUCAUUGAAUGCCAAUCUCACAUUGCAUGGUACGAUCUAUGUAAGAUAAAAACAAAUAACAAACACAAUACAUUAGUGGAAAUAGCAAAAAAACAAAAAGAAUGUACUGUCAGAAGGUUCAUAUAAAUUGUUACCGCUGCAAAAACAAAAGAAGGCUGGAAGUAGAUGCCGAACAGCGUGGCAGUAGAAAGGCUGGUCCGGCACCGUGAGUUGCAGCGUCCACAUUGUGCUUCCUCCAUUCUACACAGAACGUGUUGAACUCUAAGUUGAAUCGUACAUAGUGCAAUACAAAGAUCAUACAUAUAAUAAAUCAUAGUGAUAACCUAUACUGGCAAUGGCCAAUCAAUCUAUUUUCUAUCAUCUACGUAAUAAAGCAAUGCCAAUGACAAUUCAUCUAAACCUGGGAAUAGUUCGGCAUCCAAACUAAAACCAGUCCAAUCCACAGCACACAUCAAAACCAAACCAAUCCAGAUAUUUUAAUUUAGAAUCUAGACCAAACCGAACUAUACAUGCUCGUCAUCCAACCCAGUCCAAACGGUUUUCAACUUUUGGAUUGAAUCCAAAUGUUCAAACCGUGGACAAAGCCAUACGCGAGGGCACGUCAUGAAUCUAGAUCAUACAUGGCGUCAAAGCUCGAGAGAGGCGACGAGCUCCGGCCAGCAACAGCGGCUCUUGGAUUUGAAGCAGUAGUAGGUGGUAGUGGUGGCUCAAACUAAUUGAUUGAUUUGGUCUCAAACCAUAGAAACCAAAUCAAGAUCCAAUCCAAAAACUAAGUUUCAGUCCAAACCAAUCGGCUCAAAUCCGCCUCCGUAGGGAGACGCGGUUGGGGAAGGGAAGAAGAGGGGAGAUCUCAUGUACUUGCCGGAGUUGGCGGCGGCCACGCACUGGCAGCGAAGAGAGGGGUCGUCGAGAGAUGGCGGUGAUGGCGGCGGCGCUGGUCGAGAAGGGGAGAAAGAAAAAUGUGGAGUGGUCGAGACGGGGAGAAAGAAAAAUGUGGUACAUGUGGUGGCUCGGUUGUGUGGAUGACAAGGGGACCCACUUGUGAGACCGAUAGCAAUUGAUGGCAAACCGCAGGAGGUGCAGGACCGCGUGCACGACCGCCACGUCCCCACGUGGAAUGGGGACGGCCGGGUGGGUGUGUCAAGUCAAAUCGGCACCCGCGGCUUCUCGGUAACUCCAAGAGGCAGGAGCAGUGCAUUUCUUCCCCAAAUCGGGUAGAAAACCCUCGUCCUCUCCCCACCCUCUCUUCCUUCGUCACCACCUCACCACCCUCUCCUCCUUCCUCACCACCCUCCUCCCUUCCUACGCCUCCCUCCUCCUGUCUUCGACCGACGAUGAAGCGCGGGCGUGAAGAUCCGGCGGACGAGCCGGAGGCAACCAUCGGAGCAGAGCAGUCUGCUGCCGUGGAUGCAGCCGUGGGUGGAGCGGCUAGGUCCGCCGUAGCGGCGGAAGCUGGCGGUGCAGCGACCGUUGUGCCUGCUCCCGCUGCCAUCGCAGCUGUCGAGGCACCCGUCGGCGAGCACAAGGUCGGGGAAGAUCUGGAGGAGGAGGAGAUGAGAAGGCGUAAGCGGAAGGUGCAUGACGAAAUCGAAGAGCUCUUCGAGGAGAACGCCGUAAAGGAGUUCGACCUAGAUAGCAGUAAGGGCAGCGACUUUGACGAGGAUGCCAUCGACGAGCUAUCUGAGGUAGUACUCUGUUUUUUGCUCUAUUUUUUUCAUGACAUUGGGGUUUUUCUUGUUAACUACAUGAGCAUCAAUUUCAAUUGGGCGUGCUAGUUGUACGUAUGUAGGAUUGUAGGGAUCUAGCAUAGAUCUUCAUGUUGGAUGUGGUUUUUUAAAUCUGAUUCACAUUCUGAUUCCAGCAGAUACUCUGGGUUUUUUUCAUGGCAUUGGGGUUUGUUUUGUUAACUAUAUGAGCAUAAGUUUCACAAGGGAUACAUUAAUGAAAGAAGUGGGGUAAUGAACCCAACUACAAGAAAAUGUUCAUGGCAGGGAUACAUUAAUGGAAAAAGUGGGUUAAACAAUGGAUAUAUGGCAGGAUUCUCCAUUGGCUUCCCCAGGACAGUGACAAAAUGCUGCAGUUCCUGAUUCAUUUUAGCUUAUGUAGAUGAAUUAAUUUGCACACAUGUUCAUAGAUGAUUAGUUUGCACACAUGUUCAUAGAUGAUCCAUUUGCAAAUUCUAUACAGCUUUCCAUUUUGCAAAGGAAGUGAUCGCUCCCUUAAUAAUUAUGGGCUGACAGUACAUAUCCACUGGAUACCAAAAAAUCAAAACAUUUCAUCUAGCCAAUUUUCCACAGUAUGUUAUCUAGAUGAUCACAGCCACAUCUCUCAUCAAUAUGAGCAGUGAGACACCCCAUAGCUCCUUUACCAAUUUCCUUCUAAAACUUAUCAGGGUCUAACAAUGUUGGAGAAGCAGUAUUGCCGCUGUCAGAAAGAAUAAUGGUUUCUUCAUUCCAGUAGAUAGAACAAACCCCCCUUGUGUGAAACAUGGAGGAGUACAAUGAAGCCAUUUUUCUGAUUCCAAUAAGAAUUACACCUGUAACAAGUAUCAAAUAUUAUUAAACCAAGCCACUUCAUGAAGUCUUUCAUGUGUUAAUUGUGUACUACUUGUGCACUAAUCUAUAAAUGCAACUAUUCCACCGUCCAUAUUUAUGCAUGUCAAUUUAUUUGGCUCAAUUAUGUAUGUGCACAUACGCCUUAUUUCUAGCAAAUAGGUAGUUGCCAUGUUACACAUGUGUACUUUCAAAACAUUGUAAUUAAAGUCAAUGUACCAUAAUAGAUUAGCUGAGUUGUUAUAUGUGUACUAAUUCACUAAUUGACAGGAGGAUGACGACGACGUGGACUACGGCAUGGACAGCAGGCACAGCAAGAGCCGGUACACCCUGAGGCAUCUGAUUGCUGGGAAGAUCAAGUGCCGUUUCUUUGGCAAGAUUGGGUUCCCUUUCUGUUGCAAGGUGAUCGGUGGCGGCAUAGAUGGCAUGAUCCAGCAUGCCUUCAGCACUGGCAAUGGACAUGGCAAGAAUCAUAGUGCCAGUACUCUGGCUAAACAUGCUGCCUACACACGCUUCCUCGAGAUUGUCAAAGUCAAUGAGCCCUACAACAUGCAUUGAAGAAGGGAGAGAAGUGAUGUGCUGCUAGAGUGCUGCUGCUGCCCCAGGACCGCCGUGUCCUGUUAUGUUAUGUAUGUUUGUUUGUUGUUGGAGUCUAAAACUGAUGUCCUAUGGUGUGUCUGAACCUAUGCUGAGCGGUGGUUGAUCUGCCGUUUAUGUUAAGAGUUUGCUGCUACUCUGGUUUAGUGUUCCUAGUUGUUAAUACUAUUUUGGUGAUUCCUGUUAAGCCUUGUACAAUGCUAGAUGCUUAGGGUGGUGCUUAGAAAAAUAAACAGGGUUUUUCUGAAGCACCGGUGCCUAUUUCUACAGGAGAGACGCCUAGUUAUGCGUCUACCCUGUACAAAUAAGCACCUGUGCUUAAGAAAAGCCUGGUUUAUUUCUAUAAGCAACUCCCCUAAGAACCUUGCAUUGUACAAGGCCUUAGCAACUCAAGUAUCGUACGGUGGUCUAUGUUAUGGUUGAUGUGUUAUUCUGCCGUACGGUGAUGCAUGCUAGGAACUGUCAUAAUAUGACUAUGGUAGUUAUAGCUUGGCAUGACUAUGUUUAGUGUAUAACUCAGCAUGUUCCUACCAUAUCUAUGAGCAAUUACAACUGAACUAUGCAUUAAUUUUUGACAAAAUGAAAGCAUGCAAAUGAUUGCCGAUUCCGCCUAUUGCCAAAUCAAGCUUUGGACUAAUGAUGCAUUAGAUAUUGCAAUAAGUAGAGGAUGCUCAUGAUUGCCAAAAGUACCUAUUUCCACUUUCUGAUAAAAACUAAACGUGUAUCAAAUGAUGCUAAAAGUAGAGCAUGAGCAUGAGCAUGUAUCAAUGCAUUAGAUAUUGCAAUAAGUAGAGGAUGCUCAUGAUUGCCAAAAGUACCUAUUUCCACUUUCUGAUAAGAACUAAACGUGUAUCAAAUGAUGCUAGAAGUAGAGCAUGAGCAUGAGCAUAUAUCAAUUGAUGCUACCUAUUUGUGUUUGAAUGGGCUCAAUAAAGCUGGUGCUGGUUUAUGCUCUCUGCGUGACCGUGAUGGUAACGAAGACACUUGGUUGGCUAUGGUCUUGCUAUCAAAUUUAAGUUUCAGUUCUUUAUGACUCUUUGUUUUUGCUGCUUGCUCGGGAUCGACUAGCUUUCUCGGGCGUCCACGUGCUCUCUUCCUUUUGGGGGAGUUGGGUGCACCAUUUUUUGGGGAGUUGGCUGCACCGGUAUCCUUCUGGGAGUUGGAUGCGUCAGGUUCGUUGGAACCAUUGGGAUUGUUGACUAAUUGUACGUCCUUUUCUGAAGCAUCAGGUAGAACUGCUUGCUGGGCAUCGUACACCUCCUUCUGUAUAAGAGAGAGUGUUGCGUUAGUUCUAAUCAUGAGACUUAUGAAAUAAAUGAUAUAUUCUUCAUGUAGCGCUAACCGUUAUGGGGAACUUAUAUGAUUCGAGACGAAGCGCAUUGCAAUUUGAAUGCAGUAAGUCUGUACAUAUUUUCCACCUGAAAAUAUCUAUCCUUGCCUAUAUUGGAUAACCGACAUUGACGUCAGCAUAGCUUUCAAGCUAAACAAAGUACAAAUUUAAAUUAGGCAUUCAAUUACCUGGUUCAAAAUAUCAGUCAUUUCAUCCCCGUUCCAUGACAACAUGUACUGCAGUGUCCAAACCGCACAGGAAGUCAUGCGAUGUUUAGUUAAAGAUCAGUAAUCUUAUUUGUGUACGCAAAUAAUAAUUUAUGAGGCCAUGCGUACCCAUCGGUCUGUUGUGGUAUGUUCUCAUAGCGUUUUUUGGUCCAUUUGGCAAAAUUGAUGUUAUUAGCUGGUGAUAUCAACCCUUUCUUGACAGCUUCGUCAAUGCAGAACUGAAUCGAGUCCACCUAGGGUACGACGAGUUAUACAUAGGGUUACGGUACUUUGGGAGCUCAUGUUCCAUGCGGAUCAAAAGAGGCAGCAAGAGAACACUUACAAGAGAAUCUUCCUUGGUCUUGUCGCAAUGAUAAUUCAUGGAGUUUAGAGUCUGAAUUUUUUUUGUCAAAAUUAAACAUCAUUAGCAUCCAAUGGUUUUGGUGUACAUUGAGUGGGACAUGCACCUGCAGUAAAAUUUGGGUUGGGUUGAGAACCGAAAUUUGUCGUGUACAGUAUGUACGUAAACUAUGAAAGUGUGGAAAACGUGUACCUUUCGGCGCCCUACAAAUUUUCCUACUACACGAGCUAACCAUGAGGCUGCACGUCCAACAGGAACCACCCCCUUCAUUUGUAACAGCUUUUCGGUUUCUUGAGGGGAUAUGAUUGAGCUAGUAUCAUUCUCAAUUUGGCUAAUGAGAGCAUAUGACAUAAUAACGUGCCAAAUUUUCAAUCAUACAAUAAUAAGACAGUUGUUGCAGUAAUGAUGUAGAAUAGAGUAUAAUGGGCUUACAUCACCAUAAAUGUAUUUCUCGUCCAAAUUUCGCUUCAGAUUUUCUGCUGUGAGGGAAAUGUCUCCGAUUCUAGCUAUUUCAACAGGGUCAUAUGUUCCGCGGAUGUAAACGGCUGUCUCUAUGUCCUCAUCCGUGAACUUGUAAUCAUUACCAAAGACAGGCUUCAUCGGAGUUAAUUGUGGUUCCUCAUUGUUUUCCGUCACAUGUGUUGCACUUGGUGUACUCGAAGUCCCUGUCGUGAUUUGGCUAGCCCUAGGAGUUCCUGUCAGGGAUGAAUUGCACACAUUGACUUGAUCCUACAAUGAACAAAGGUAGUUCAUCAUUAGUUUGUUACUUUUAGAUAUUAACGUGUUGGGCCAAUUUUGAUCACCUGCACACCUCCUUUCUGUGACACUGAUUGUCGGUUCCUUGUAAAUUCAUAUUUUAAGUCCUGUAACAAUGCAAACAAUAAUGAACAUGAAGGAACAUAUUCAUAAAAAAUACAAAAUGCACAGUAUGACAUAUAUGGAGUUCCCUCCUUAAGUCUUUAAUUUCGUCCUCGGCCUUCGACAACCUAGGAUUAGUGCCAGUUUUAGUCUUCAUGUCGAUCAAGUCUUCACCUAGAGUCUGGUAUUUGACAUCAAAUCUGUGCUCAAUUUCCAUUAACUUCCUGCAUAUAUACCUUCUUUUCAUGAUCAGCAAUGCGUGCAUUCAUGACUUCAACUACCAUUUCAAUCUGUGUAAACAAAAUAAAACCCUGUUGGUAACAAUAGCUAAAUGAAUGAGGUUCCAUGACACCUAUUUGUGAUAUUGCAAAAACAAAUAGUCUUUGGAGUACAUACUUGCUGGCUACUAAAUUGAUGUCCUUGUGAUGGUGCUCGAUACGAAUCAUGUUGAUGCACAUGUUCAUCUUUUUUUCUUGGAAAAUUAUUAGAAUUCUCGGACGGUCGUUGAGGAGCACAAAUUUCCAUGACAACCUAUUUUUUUAAAAUAUAAUGAACCAUUAGUACCAAAUAAAAAAUCGGAUAUAGAAAGUUCAAUUGUAGAUAGGUACCAGCCCGUUAUGAAGACCUCCUUUCUCGUAAGCAUCGCUUCUUAAAGUAGCCAUCAUUUCGUCCCAUCGUGCGAUCAAUGGAGGGGGUCUAGAAGCAUACAUUAAUCGGCCACUACGCGCGUGCUCCCAGUACCAAUACUACACAAUAAAUUAGUUCAUCACCAUACAGACAUGCAACAGAACAAUAAUUAAAGGACAUUAAGUAGUGAUCUAUCACUAACCUGGAGCAGAAUUAGAUUUCCUUGUAGAUUUACGUGAUCUCGAUUUCUAAACUUGUGAACGGACUUGAAGAAGUGAUUAAGUGUGAAACAUCCCCAGUUAAAUUUCCGAAGGUUUUCAAGAUCUGUAACGAGGUUGAGAAAUUUUGAGUCCACAUAAUGUUGUGUUGUUGGUGCUAGAACAGUAACAAUUGCGUAUAGAAUGAACCGCCUCAGGAAAUCGCCGUCUGGGGCUUUGGAAGCUCGGAUCGCCGUUUCAAGGUCAGAAAUCAAAAUUUGCCCAUUGUUUGCAUAGGCGGUAAACAAUUCUGUGUCGGUUUGCAUUUCCAGAUGUGGCUCUAUAUCCUCCCCUUCUAUCGGAAUGCCAAAUAUACCUUGCACGUCCUCUUUUGUUAUAGGAAUUGGCGUUUUACCGAUGGUAAUGGAUUGCGUGUCCAUAUCUAUGCUCUUGGCUAGUCUAACCAACAUUAUGCGCCGUAGAGUCACUUCAUGCAUCUGGGUCAGACCGCCAAGACUGGUUUCUGAUAUGAUGUACUUUUUGUGGUCUUGUGACAACAGUUUCAUGGUUUUUCCAAACCUUGUCUGUGAGCAUACUAACUUCAUAUGACCAUGCUUUUCGGCGAGUUCCUGUUACAUGCCAUUAAAUAUUACUGAGUACACAUGAAUUAUGUGUACGAAACAAUUGUACACAAACAGUAAAUUACUUACCGCAUCGGUAAUUUCGGAGAUGGGCUUUUCUCCAUUAUUAAGGUUCGUGUCUGAAACUGACAUUGCUGCCUCGUAUGCAAUGAUAAAAUCAGGCUCAAUUAAUCUAAACAAAAUUGGAAAAUGUAUAACAAAAUUAGUAGAGAAUUAAUUUUAACAAAAUUAACUGGGUCAUUUAACAUAUGAUCCACUUAUGGGUUUAAGCACAGAACCUAUUUGGGUGCAAAACCUAUGAGGGUUCAACAACUAAAGCAUCGGCGGACAACGAUUAUAAAGAGUUACGAUCAGCUAAUACCUUAUCUCGGAGAUGGUGCCACCGAGUAGAUGGCGGCGGUUAGUGCGUCGGAAACUAUAAGUGCCGGUAUAGCGCGGUCGACGGUGCAAAGGAAAAACGGCACGUUCACGCGAGGAGGAGGCGGCGAGAAGAACACUGACGUCCGAGCCCUCAGAUCACGUUGGCGGUGGGCGGCGAGUGGUGGCCGCCGACUCCUGUAUUCUGUGGGCGACCGGCGUCUCCGAUCUGAUCUUGCAGCGGUCAUGUGAGGUGCGGACGGCCCGGGUGGUUAGAAUGUGGAGCUGUAAUCGCGGGAUUUAGGGAGGGGUGGGCCGCAUGAGUUAUGUGAGAUUUGGAUAAAUGAUAUAAAGAAAUAAGAAAAUCNNNNNNNNNNNNNNNNNNNNNNNNNNNNNNNNNNNNNNNNNNNNNNNNNNNNNNNNNNNNNNNNNNNNNNNNNNNNNNNNNNNNNNNNNNNNNNNNNNNNAGAUGAGCUGGACGGCAAUGGCCACUCUCAAGAAUUUGACGAAGAAGGAGAGGGCAAAGCUUUUCCCCCAGCCCGUGCAACCGAUUCAGAAGAUCGAGAUCCUCCUCUGGGCGAUGGAGCAGGCCAAUUCGUCCAGCGAGUGGACCAGGCGGAGGUGGUGGGCGUUCAGAUCCAGGGUAGAGCAUCCACUGGAUCUGGAACCCACCGUGCACGAGGUGCCGUUGCAGAUUGUGCAGCCUCCAAUCGAGUCACCGGAGACUUCGAAGCGCAAGAUGAGGAGGACAAUGGUCGCGACCUCGCUUCCCCGCCGUUCUCCACGCUUCCCUCGCCGCUCUCCUCAUCUGAACGGCGGCGGUAGCUAUGUUUAGAGUAAGCUUCCCCACUCCUCAUCUUUCUAAUGCUCGUUCUUACAUCAUGGUGAUAACGCUAGAUGGCAUUUUAAUCUCAAUAAAUUGCAUGAACAUUUGAGUACAUGGAUUUGGAGGAUGGGUUAUGAUGUAUGUGAACCCUAGGCAUCAUAUGAACCCUAGGAAAAAUUAGUAAUGUUGUAGUGGUAGACACUGAAAUAUUUCGGUACACACCGGUAGGCACUGAAAUAUUUCGGAACUGCCCUAGGCAAAAUUUGUAAUGUUGUAGUGGUGGACACUGAAAUAUUUCGGUACACACCGGUAGGCAUUGAAAUAUUUCGGUACUGCCCUAGGCAAAAUUUGUAAUGUUGUAGUGGUAGACACUGAAAUAUUUCGGUACACACCGGUAGGCACUGAAAUAUUUCGUUACUACAAUUUCAGUACACACCGAUGCACACUGAAUUAUUUCACUACUGCAGUUUCAGUACACACCGGUACAUACUGAAAUAUUUCAGUACUGUAAAUUCUAUACAAAGUUGGCAUUUUGUCAUUUAUGUGUGAAUUAAUCCAUGCAUCAUAUGGCCUAACUUUGUACACGAGUUUGGGUCAAUUUCAUGUCUAUUUAUUGUUAAAAUUAUUGUCAUGCCAUGAAACACAAGACAAGUCACUGACCCAAGCUUGCAAAGAUGCCAUAUCAAUGUUGCUGAUACGAAAUAUGCAUGUUUUCACCUAGUCUUGUGUCUGAAUUAAAACUGAGCAUUUUUUCUUGAUGGUAUCCAUGGAUCUAGAACUCCUAUGAAUUUUCUCAUGUUGGGUGUUUUGUUCUCCAUCAUUUGUACUAGCAUUCCGUGCGAUUAGAUGCCAUGACAAGACCCCUGUCAUAUUUAUUUUCUUGCCUCCAACAUCACAUGUGUGUUUUGCAGGAAAAAACAUGGAGUUCACCAGGCUGGCUGAAGUUGUGAGGCUGGGAGGCUGAUGGUGCUGCUACUGGCUGAUCCUUCUUCUUUCAGUUUUUGUUCGUCAUUUCUCAAGCCAUUGGACCAGGGCUACUUCCCUAUGUGCUGUUAAUGUAUUAAGUAGUUCCUUCGAAUUUGUAGUAUUAGUUAGUUUGAAUGUGGAAGUACCUUAAUUUUUAGGAAUGAAAUGUUGCUAUGUAUGACCAAGGGUUUCAUACCUUAAUCUUUGGAUAAUUAAUUAUGUGAACUGUUGGAUGUGGCGCAUAACGAAACGCCUCUACCAUUGAUACUAGUUCAACAUGUCGGUCCAAUUAGAGACCAGCCACUACCAUAUAGAAUAGUUAGCAUUUCAUACUACAACCUGGCACGUACAAAACAUCACACAGUGGAAGCACAUCCCUAAGCACCUUGCAUUGUACAAGGUCUUAGAGACAAGCCUCUACCAUAUAUAACAGUUACCAUGUCACACUACAGCCUAUAAAACAUCACAUAGUGGAAUAAUCAUAGCUAGUAGAGCAUUAGGUACCAGUUAAUAAUAGUUGCAAUCCAUCACAAGCAACAAUACCUAGAUAUGAGUAGAUAUAGGUACGGUAAUACACGACAAGUACUUGCAAACAAGAGCUAACAUAACAAGUUCAUUUCAGAUUGAUACAUGGCCCACCGCAGUUCUAAAUGAGGUGGAUGGUGAUCAUCAUCCUCAAGUCAUGGCGACGGGUGUUCGCAACAGUGAGUAGGAUGGCCUGUCCUACCCGAAGAUUCUUGGCACGAAGGAACUUCUUCCACCCUGCCCUGCUCAAGACAGUGCGACCGUCCGUGUCCACUGCAUAGGCACAGCUGGUGAUGGAGCCCGUUCUGGUAAGGCGUAGUCCAGCAGCCAUGCCUUCUUCGUCCGGGUCGAUGCCACAGCUAUCAAGUAACCUCUUAGGUAAUUUUUGAAAACAGUUGACAUGAUCAUAUACAUUAGUGGAAUAGCAAAACAGUUGACAUGAUAUAUGAUCAUGUCACGUGCAAUUAUCAACAAAGCAUACACUUCAAGACACAUAUAUCAUUGGAUUCAACACUGAGCAUAUAUAUCAUCACAUCAGUACACUAUACACCAAGCAUCAAAUUACUACAGUAAUUAUGCAUAUCAUUAGAUUACUGCGUACACUAAGCAUAUCAUCGCAUAUUACUACACUACAUGCAUGUCAUAAAAUUCUUCACUAAAUGAAUUCUAAACUAGGCCUCUCAUCAAAGUACUACAACAUGCAUAUCAUAUGAACUACUACACUAACUAAGCAUGUAUAUCAUGUAAUUACCACACUAAGUAACAUACCAUGAUAUGCCGUUUAACAUUCGUCCUUGUGAGGCGGGUCAUGAAUGGCUUCCCUAGGUAGUCUUCACGUAGCGGAAGCAUGUCCCAGAGGUUGCCGAUUUCCUCGUCGCCCAGUCUGAGUCCUUGGGCAUACAGGUAUUCAACAAGUGGGUUCUCAUCAUCAUCAGAAUCGUCAUCAUCUGAAUCAGCACCAUCUUCCUCCUCAUGAACUUCAUCCUCACUAUCCAGAAUCAAAUUUAGAUAGAUAACAGAAAUCCUGGGCCUAUCUUUUCUGAAGGAGAAGCUGAUCAAUUCACCCCCACUAAGACGCAUGCGGGCGAUGAAACGAUCCCAAUCAUCUCCUCCUAUCUGGGUUAUCUUUCGCCCCUUCUCGACCUGCAUAGUGUAUGGGCCCCCAAGAGUAUCGAAGGUCACGGUGUCUGCGAUGAGCUCAUUGAAUGCCAAUCUCACAUUGCAUGGUACGAUCUAUGUAAGAUAAAAACAAAUAACAGACACAAUACAUUAGUGGAAAUAGCAAAAAAACAAAAA
This 11746-nucleotide long non-coding RNA is filed under the name Triticum aestivum (bread wheat). RNAcentral's name for it is "long non-coding RNA (TAES_LNC021224)". The record is from RNAcentral. Lineage: Eukaryota; Viridiplantae; Streptophyta; Magnoliopsida; Poales; Poaceae.